Molecule: long non-coding RNA, 934 nt
Filed under: Arabidopsis lyrata
Lineage: Eukaryota; Viridiplantae; Streptophyta; Magnoliopsida; Brassicales; Brassicaceae
Description: long non-coding RNA (ALYR_LNC001640)
Source: RNAcentral
UUUUUUACAUAACAUCAUACAAAGUUUUAAACAAAAUAAAGCUAACAUCUCCUUUAUAUGUUUCGCCUUCCCAUAUCAUCCCCGUCCAUAAUCUCUGUAAUCAUGUGUACAAAAGCAUCAACAUAUAUCACAGUCUUCAAUCUUGUUUCCUCAAUAGUUUUUAUCUUAAAAUCAAUGCUGCAUCAAACGCCAAAAAUUUAACAAAUUCAGAGAGACAUCUAGAAGAAAAUAAAGAGAUAACUCAUACAUAUAUCAGUCUCUAAUUUUUUUUACAUGGUAAAGAGAUUCAAACUCAAUAGUGGUGAUGAAGCUCAUGGUAAUAAUAUUAAACAAAGAGGAUGCUAAACUAAUCCAUGUAUAUAAACCAAAUAACGAUAAACACACCACACCAUAGUAAACACACCACACCAUAGAAAACACAACAGUUUUAAAAUCAUCAGAAUAAAGAAAAGAAAAAAGCAAGGUAUUUAUAUUCUUAUAUUCUUAAGAAAAAAGCAUUCGUCCUCAACAUGUCCCACCUCUUUCUUAACAGCUCCUAAAGAUGAAGAAGAAUUGAUUUCCACUACCUGUUCUUGUAUAUUCUGCUCAGCUAUCUGUAAUAACAUUAAAACAAAGGUAUUUGGAGCAGCAGAGUAUUAACAUUAUUUCCACUUGUCUUAUAAACUGAUCUCUUCAUAUCACAAAGAGAAUACAUAACUACAAAAGACAACCUAUGUUUUUAUCAAAAUGUAAAACUAAUUAAGAUGUUAGAAAUAUCAAAAGCACCUGAAUUAUCCUUCCUUGUUCUUUAUUUUGCUAACCAUCAAGUCAUCCACAAAAAAUCCAUAAUAUCAAACGGAGAAAUUAACCAAACCAAGCACUAAAAUUCAAAUGUACAUGUCAUGCGAGGAAGAUACAAUGUUAAAUUAAGAAACUUAAUUAGUGUUAGAAGUAC